UGACGGUAUUCGAGGAAUAAGCAUCGGCUAACUCUGUGCCAGCAGCCGCGGUAAGACAGAGGAUGCAAGUGUUAUUCGGAUUGAUUGGGCGUAAAGCGUCUGUAGGCGGUUUGGAAAGUCUUUUGUGAAAUUCUUCAGCUCAACUGGGGGUCCGCAAAAGAAACUUCUAGGCUUGAGGGAAGUAGAGGUACAGGGAAUUUCCGGUGGAGCGGUGAAAUGCGUAGAUAUCGGAAGGAACACCAAUAUGGCGAAGGCACUGUACUGGGCUUUACCUGACGCUAAGAGACGAAAGCUAAAGGAGUGAUUAGGAUUAGAUACCCUAGUAAUUUUAGCCGUAAACGAUGGAAACUCACUGCCGAGCCGGUAUUCGGAGCGGUGGUCAAGCUAACGCGUGAAGUUUCCCGCCUGGGGACUACGCAUGCAAAUGUGAAACUCAAAGGAAUUGACGGGGACCCGCACAAGCGGUGGAGUAUGUGGUUUAAUUCGAUGCAACGCGAAAAACCUUACCAAGGUUUGAAAUCAUUUCAAAACUCUUUGAAAGAAGAGCCUCCUUCGGGAUGGAAUGACAGGUGGUGCAUGGCUGUCGUCAGCUCGUGUUGUGAAAUGUCAAGUUAAGUCUUGUAACGAGCGCAACCCAUGUCUUUUGUUGCUGUUUACAGUGCUUAAAAGAGACUGCCGCUCUACAGCGGAGGAAGGUGUGGAUGAUGUCAAGUCAGCAUGCCCCUUAUAUCUUGGGCUACACACGUACUACAAUGGUAGGGACAAUGAGUCGCAAACCUGCGAAGGCUAGCCAAUCUCAAAAACCCUAUCUCAGUUCGGAUUGUACUCUGCAACUCGAGUGCAUGAAGGUGGAAUCGCUAGUAAUCGCUGGUCAGCAUACAGCGGUGAAUACGUUCCCGGGUCUUGUACACACUGCCCGUCACACCAUGGAAGUCGAUCCUUCCCUAAGUCGUUACUCGAACCUUUUAGGACGAGGAUGCCGAAGGCAGGGUUGGUGACUAGGGUGAAGUCGUAACAAGGUAACC
RNAcentral lists this ribosomal RNA (1025 nucleotides) under uncultured cyanobacterium. RNAcentral describes it as "bacterial SSU rRNA". It matches the Rfam family "Bacterial small subunit ribosomal RNA", at positions 470 to 1501 of the family's 1533-position model. The record is from RNAcentral. Lineage: Bacteria; Bacillati; Cyanobacteriota. RNAcentral also lists the same sequence under 1 other name.